UCACAUCAGGCACAGUUACAGGGGCUUC
This 28-nucleotide small RNA is filed under the name Bombyx mori (domestic silkworm). RNAcentral describes it as "ovarian small RNA-6838". Lineage: Eukaryota; Metazoa; Arthropoda; Insecta; Lepidoptera; Bombycidae. The record is from RNAcentral.